UACGGAGGGUGCAAGCGUUAUCCGGAUUCACUGGGUUUAAAGGGUGCGUAGGAGGGCAGGUAAGUCAGUGGUGAAAUCUCCAAGCUUAACUUGGAACUGCCGUUGAUACUAUCUGUCUUGAAUAUUUGUGGAGGUGAGCGGAAUAUGUCAUGUAGCGGUGAAAUGCUUAGAUAUGACAUAGAACACCAAAUUGCGAAGGCAGCUCGCUACACAUAUAUUGACUCUGAGGCACGAAAGCGUGGGGAUCAAACAGG
This 254-nucleotide ribosomal RNA is filed under the name uncultured bacterium. RNAcentral's name for it is "partial 16S ribosomal RNA". It matches the Rfam family "Bacterial small subunit ribosomal RNA", at positions 524 to 776 of the family's 1533-position model. The record is from RNAcentral.